Molecule: ribosomal RNA, 253 nt
Filed under: uncultured bacterium
Lineage: Bacteria
Description: partial 16S ribosomal RNA
Rfam family: Bacterial small subunit ribosomal RNA
Source: RNAcentral
UACGAGAGGUGCGAGCGUUGUUCGGAAUGACUGGGCGUAAAGAGCACGUAGGUGGGUUUACAAGUCAGAUGUGAAAACCCAGGGCUUAACCCUGGACGAGCAUAUGAAACGGUAAGUCUUGAAUGUUUGAGAGGUUGGUGGAAUUCCAGGUGUAGGAGUGAAAUCCGUAGAUAUCUGGAGGAACAUCGGAGGCGAAGGCGGCCAACUGGCGAAACAUUGACGCUGAGGUGCGAAAGCGUGGGGAGCAAACAGG